Pygocentrus nattereri (red-bellied piranha) is the source of this 787-nucleotide long non-coding RNA. RefSeq lists it as uncharacterized. The transcript is spliced from 3 exons. Lineage: Eukaryota; Metazoa; Chordata; Actinopteri; Characiformes; Serrasalmidae. The record is from RefSeq and is a predicted model, not a curated record.
CUGCCGGCUAGCUAUGGACCUCACUCUUUUCUUGGCAGCGUUAGCUACCAGUAUUUCUGGUAACAUGAAUGGUAGCUGUGUCGUAACGUUCGCUAGCGAGCGGUAACGAAUUCAAGCUAUACAUUACUGGCAACGUUAACGUCACCGGGCUAACGUUAGUUACUUCUCAGAAGAAGCAAACCGACUCUGACAGCAAUGUUAACGGUUAACGGUUGUUAUCUUGUGAUGACAUGCUGCUGGCUAGCAGCUUUAUCCUGGUGAAAAUAGCCAAGCAGACAACCAGAAACGUCUGUACGUAUUCAAGCUACAUAAAGCUAUCCCAGGUUAGCUAAGUUAAUUAUCAUCUGCGCUAGCGAAUGCUUGGUCAAAACGAAAAUUUCUACUAUCUGCCACACAUGCUUCUGUGAAAUCUCCGCUAAGUUAGCUACUUAACGCUCACCGACAGCCCGUACCUUCAGCGGAGAUUAACUGGAUGUCCAUAUGAGUCGAGGUGCCUGAUUCCUGCUCUCUCUAUCCGAGCAUCCUUCCCUCCUCCCCUUCACGGGCCUAACGUGGAGAUUUAGUCCGAUGAGCUCCGCAGCUAUUGGCUGGAAGAUCUGUCCAUCAUUCUCUGGGUUUGGUUGACUCCCCCAGCGGCGUCUGCGCUUCCACGGCAACGCACACUUUGGCUUGGCCUUAACAGGUCUAGUCUCAGACUCACUGUGAGCUAUGGGGAAAGUCCAGCAGGUGUGCCAUAGUAACAAAGGGAUGGUUGAGCGUCUCGAUGGGCGUGAUCCUCUUAUCUGCG